UUCACUCACUGGCCGCUCACCUCACCUCACGCACAUAAACUUCAUUCAUUCAUUAAAUAAUUUUGCGAUCCAAGGUGAAGACGCACGGCACGGAAAAUUUAAAUAAAAAACUUUGAACCAUGUCGUGGAACAAGGUCUCGUUCACAUACUUCAACGUGAAGGCGCUGGGAGAGAGCGGUCGCCUCCUCCUCGCUUAUGGAGGGCAGGAGUUCGAAGACAAG
Molecule: long non-coding RNA, 221 nt
Organism: Ostrinia furnacalis (Asian corn borer)
Lineage: Eukaryota; Metazoa; Arthropoda; Insecta; Lepidoptera; Crambidae
Exons: 2
Source: RefSeq, a predicted model, not a curated record